Molecule: transfer RNA, 74 nt
Filed under: bacterium
Lineage: Bacteria
Description: tRNA-Val
Rfam family: tRNA
About the family: Transfer RNA (tRNA) molecules are approximately 80 nucleotides in length. Their secondary structure includes four short double-helical elements and three loops (D, anti-codon, and T loops). Further hydrogen bonds mediate the characteristic L-shaped molecular structure. tRNAs have two regions of fundamental functional importance: the anti-codon, which is responsible for specific mRNA codon recognition, and the 3' end, to which the tRNAs corresponding amino acid is attached (by aminoacyl-tRNA synthetases). tRNAs cope with the degeneracy of the genetic code in two manners: having more than one tRNA (with a specific anti-codon) for a particular amino acid; and 'wobble' base-pairing, i.e. permitting non-standard base-pairing at the 3rd anti-codon position.
Source: RNAcentral
GGGCGGCUAGCUCAGCUGGUUAGAGCGUCGCAUUUACACUGCGAAGGUCAGAGGUUCGAAUCCUCUGCCGCCCA